This 253-nucleotide ribosomal RNA is filed under the name uncultured bacterium. RNAcentral describes it as "partial 16S ribosomal RNA". It matches the Rfam family "Bacterial small subunit ribosomal RNA", at positions 524 to 777 of the family's 1533-position model. The record is from RNAcentral.
UACAGAGGGUGCAAGCGUUGUUCGGAAUUACUGGGCGUAAAGGGUGCGUAGGCGGGUCUUUAAGUCAGGGUGAAAUCCUGGAGCUCAACUCCAGAACUGCCUUUGAUACUGAGGAUCUUGAGUUCGGGAGAGGUGAGUGGAACUGCGAGUGUAGAGGUGAAAUUCGUAGAUAUUCGCAAGAACACCAGUGGCGAAGGCGGCUCACUGGCCCGAUACUGACGCUGAGGCACGAAAGCGUGGGGAGCAAACAGGG